This 1132-nucleotide long non-coding RNA is filed under the name Homo sapiens (human). RNAcentral's name for it is "HSALNT0255305". The record is from RNAcentral. Lineage: Eukaryota; Metazoa; Chordata; Mammalia; Primates; Hominidae.
GGAGAGGCGGGACUUCCGGUCGGCGCCGCCUGCGAAGUGCUCCGCGGCCGGCGGAGACGCGGGCAGCCAGCGAUGGCCGCGGAGGGGGCGAACUGGGUUCCGGCCCUCGGAGGCUGACGGAAGGCGGUGGCUGAGGAGCGGCGCCUCUGGUUGAGCGCUCGCCGUGUGUCCCGCACCUGUCUGUCCUGCCGCCGCCCGCACAGCACAGCACCGCACAUCUCCAGUCGGACUGGCUACAUUUCAAGGGCUCAACCAUCACGCGUUACCAGUGGCUACUGCAUCAGACUGUGCAGUGCUAGAUGGGGAGUCAGAAGAGAAACCAAGUGAUUUCCAUGUCAAGUGGUGAACAGGCUAAGAAGAAAACCUACUCCGAGUGAAGAUGAUGAAGAUGAAGACCGUUAUGAUCCACUUCCACUUAAUGAAAGAUGAAUAUAUUUUCUCUUCCUAAUGAUUUUUUUUUUUUUUUUUUUGGAGACAGAGUCUCGCUGCAUCCCCCAGGCUGGAGUACAGUGGUAUGAUCUUGGCUCACUGCAACCUCUGCCUCCUAGGUUCAAGUGAUUCUCCUGCCUCAGUCUCCCGAGUAGCUGGGAUUACAGGCGCCCACCACCAUGCCCGGCUAAUUUUUGUAUUUUUAGUAGAGAUGGGGUUUCACUAUGUUGGCCAGGCUGGUCUCAAACUCCUGACCUCAGGUGAUCUGCCUGACUUGGCCUCCCAAAGUGCUGGGAUUACAGGCAUGAGCCACCUUGCCUGGCCUCUUCCUAAUGAUUUUUUAAAGUACAUCUUGUUUUCUCUGUCUUACUUUAUCAUAAAAAUAUAUGAUACAAAUAAAAUACAGAAUAUGUGUUAAUGGACUGUGUAUGUUAUGAGUAAGCCUUCCAGUCGACAGUGGGCUAUUAUUGGUGGUUAAGUUUUGGGGGAGUGUGUGUUCAAGGGUCAACCGCACUUCCUGAGGGCACUGUGAGAACUAAGUUAAAUAACCCACUUUUACAAUCUUUGGAACCGGGGGCAGGUGGCUGGGGCUCACACCUGUAAUUACAGCACUUUGGGAGGCUGAGGCAGGAAGAUCCCUUGAGGCCAAGAGUUUGAGACCAGCCUGGGCAACAAAGCAAGACUCUGUCUCUACAAAAAUUUU